This 287-nucleotide ribosomal RNA is filed under the name uncultured bacterium. RNAcentral's name for it is "partial 16S ribosomal RNA". It matches the Rfam family "Bacterial small subunit ribosomal RNA", at positions 775 to 1067 of the family's 1533-position model. The record is from RNAcentral.
GGAUUAGAUACCCUGGUAGUCCACGCUGUAAACGAUGCUAACUCGUUUUUGGGUUUUCGGACUCAGAGACCAAGCGAAAGUGAUAAGUUAGCCACCUGGGGAGUACGCUCGCAAGAGUGAAACUCAAAGGAAUUGAUGGGGGCCCGCACAAGCGGUGGAUUAUGUGGUUUAAUUCGAUGAUACGCGAGGAACCUUACCAAGACUUAAAUGGGAAUUGACAGAUUUAGUAAUAGAGCUUUCUUCGGACAAUUUUCAAGGUGCUGCAUGGUCGUCGUCAGCUCGUGCCG